Neofelis nebulosa (Clouded leopard) is the source of this 8080-nucleotide long non-coding RNA. RefSeq lists it as uncharacterized. The record is from RefSeq and is a predicted model, not a curated record. NCBI's taxonomy places the organism in Eukaryota, Metazoa, Chordata, Mammalia, Carnivora, Felidae. The transcript is spliced from 5 exons.
UUCGUGCUGACCACCUAUCCGAGUUUCACUUGAGAAGUGUGAGCCGGGGAAUAUUUCUGAGCCUCCGGGGCUGCCCGUCCUGGCUCACGCCCACAGAGUUCGGCCAGGCACCCCUCGUCUCCCCUGGGUCAGUAGCCGUGAGCUCCCCAGCAUGUCCCAUCUGUUUCCUUGAGGCAGGUGACUUCCUUGUCAUGCAUGGGAGCUUCCUAGGGGGAAGCCAGCUCUUGGCCCCGGGGAGCGCUUGUGUUCUACAAAUCCGUUGUUGCUGUGGGUCUGUGUCUGCCCUCGAGGGCGUGUCCUACACCCCCCCUCGUGUCCGAGGUGACUACUUUAUGCCAGCAAAAGAAAACAAGCUUCACACCUCACGGAGCUGAAGGUGAGGCGACAGCUGGCUGAUGACGGCUCAUGACUCACCCAUGUGGAUCCUGGACCACAGGCGUGAAAGGAGCUCCCACCCAAGGGCACAUAUCAAGUCACAGAUGAGAACCCGGGUUUGGCUGCUCGGAGAGUGACGAGGGAUUGCGACAUGUUUUCAGCUAACCUCAGCUCUGCGGAGCCGAGCACUCGGGGAGUGAGGUUUAGGGAAGUCAAGCGUCCUUGGGUUGGUUUCCCAGAACAGCUGGGCAUGUCAGAAGACGUGAGUUCCAAUUUCACUCUCUUUCUCACUAGCUCUGUGACCUGAGGUGACUCCAUCAACUUCUCUGCGCCUCUGUGAUUUCACCUGUGAAAAGGAGGGAUUGCCCUCUGCUCCGCUUGCCUCCUGGGCCGUCCGGAUCCAGGGGGACCUCACAUGUCGAAGAAAUAGAACAGGAAUAGCAGAAGCCUGGCUGGACACCUCAGCCCCUGUUCCUGCUUUCAAGGCGAAUGCAUUUUGUUUGCGUACGUGUGCAUGAAGGAGAAUGAAAUAGUGCCAAGUAUCAAGCAAACUCAUGAUGGGCUACCUUGGGAGUGGGCAGGGGCGGGAGGAACCAGGUUUGAGGGUGGGGCAGUUCAUUUCCCUAGAAUACAUAUUCAUAUCUUUGCAGUUAUUUUAGUCUUUUUCAAAGAUAACUGCACAGCACUGAAUUGCACUGCCGGACCUGUGAGGCAGACACAGUCCUUCAGGAGGAAGGAGAGGAGCUACAGUGGUCCGAAGGAUUUUACGGGCUGGGAAACUUGCCUGUGGCGAGGAGGAAGACCGAUUUGGAUGAAUGGAAGGGAGCAAAGGCAUUCUCCCAGGGGACCAGCAUGAGCAAAGGGGAGCCAACUAAGAGCCACCCCAAAUGUGGGCUUUGGCUGACGGAGGAAGCAGUGGGGGAGCUGCACCUGUGCAGGGGGCAGAUCUGACCUCUCCCCGCCCAGACCGAGGAGUUUGGCAGGGGAUGCACUUGGAGCUCAAGACCACCAGCUUCCCACCCUCUCUGGACGCCGCUCCCUCCCAAACUGCCCGGGGACAGACGGGGCUGAAGCCUGCCGUUCUGGGCUAGAGCCCUGUCCAGGAGCCCCAAGACUGGCCAUGGGACUGGGGGGCGAGUCCCUGACCCCUCCCAGCCCCGGGCGCCCAUCCCUGAAAUGAAGGGACGGGGCCCCUGGCACCUUGCAGCGGUGGUGGCCGGGAGGGUGAAGUGAGACCAGGGCUCAGUCGGGGCACUGCUCUCCGUCCAGGCCGUUUGCUCACAGCACGAAUGAGAAAGCUGGAUGCGGCAGUGGCCAUGAGAGCAGGCUCCUAGCGACAAAGAAUGCUUCCUCUGCGAGGCCCCUCGCAAGCAGCCUCUCCUGGGUCUCCCGGACUCCCAGCCCCACCAGGCCGCGUGUGAACCCCAGUGGGGGAGGCAAGAGCCAACCCACUUCCGAAGCUGUCCUGGGAGGCACCCCACGCAGGCUGUGGGAAAUGGCGCCCAUUUCCAGGGGGUCCACCCGACAGACUUACCCGCAAACUUGGGGACCCACACGUGUGAGAUGGAGGCCUCGCACCAACAAGGUAGGCAACGCCAUCGCCUUGGAUUCGCACUUCUGUCCUCUGAGUUUCAACACUUUUUAACGCUCGUUUGUUUUUGAGAGAGAGAGAGACAGAGCCUGAGAGAGAAGGAGCCACAGAAUUCGAAGCAGGCUGCAGGCUCCGAGCUGUCGGCACAGAGCCCGACGCGGGGCUCGAACUCACGAACCGCGAGACCGUGACCUGAGCCGAAGUCGGAGGCCCAACCGACGGAGCCCCCCGGGCGCCCCGGCAGCUUCAUGUUUAGAUGUGUGUUGAACAGGUGCUAUGUGCCCAGCUAGGCUCUAGGGUUCCGGCAGUGAACAAAACAGACAAAAGGUGAGGGGACGUGAACAAUGAAGGCCGAGGAGCAAAUGCAGGGGUGUGGGGGUGACGAGGGCCAAGGAGAGAGACACGGCAGGGCCAGAGGAAGGCGUAGAAGAUGCAAAUAGGGUAACGGGCUGGCGGUGAGCUGCUCGCAAACUCUCCAGGGCCAGGCCAGCUCCAGGGCUCAGACAGGCUGAGGCCUCUGUCAUAGCUGCAUUUCACGUCGAUGUCCCAGUCUGUUUCCUCUGCUCAGUCUGCUUCUUCCCCACCCACCCCCCACCCCCACCCAGAUGUUGCCCGCAAGAGCGCACCCAACACGCCUGCAUGCAAAUCUCCAUCUCGGAAACUAUUCUCAGGGGGCCCGACACCAAAGAAAACCCGUAUUUCAGAACCGCUACCUACACUGUACCUCCACUCCAUCAUGGGUCCCACCAGUGCGGGCUCGCCUCGGAGCCCCGGUGACUGUCCCAGGGAGAACACAUUCAGAGGGAAGACCCAGGACAGAGUUUGCAUCACGAUUCCUUGGGGAGAGGUGGGCCUCAGGAUUUCCAGGUUGGAAGCGGUCUUUCUUUGUGGCAUUUUCAUCCAGGGCUUGGCAACCUUCACCAUCUGGAAGUUCUUUCUUACUUCAAACCGGAAUCCCUCCUUCUGUGAUGUAUCCCCAUUUCCUCUCCCUUUUCCUCCGUGGAGCGGUAUUCUUGCCAAGAAAGAAAGUUAAAAGGGAACAAAGACAUAUGGUUUUCCUAUUAAGACGGACGCCCACAUUUAAGCGGAAUAGAGGAAAGCGUUCACAUUAGGGCAACGGAAAUACAUUUGCAUGGCACCAACAUCUGAAAUUGCUUUUUUUUUUUUUUUUAAGUAACCAAAACAAUGAGUGCCUCUUUUUGUGCACUUUAUUAAACUUCUGGACUAUUAAGGAGACACUGGGGACCCCUCCUCAGAGGCCAGGGUAGCACGGAAAGCCCUUGGAUUUGGAGUCCUGACAUCAAGCAUUCAAAACCCGUUUCUGCCACUCGCGAGCAGUGUGACCAUGGUGGUGACCACGGGGAACGCUGUUUGUCUUUGAGACUCAGUCUUCCUUGUACAGUGGGGGACACCAGCUGCCCCUGCCUAUGUCACAGGGCUACUGAGAGUUGAUGAGAGGACGUGGAAAAGCCCAGGAAACCACGAUGCGCCGGAGUGAUGUGAAUACGCUACACCGAAGUCCCGGACGGUUUCCUGAGCAACCACCAGGGACAGAACCUCACCACGUUGUUUCUACUUGAGAAAUUGACGAACCGAUAGUAAAAUUCAUAUGGAAACGCAAAGGACCUAGAACCAUUCUUUGGAGAAGAACUAGGGGCGCCUGGGUGGCUCAGUCGGUUGAGCACCUGACUUCGGCUCAGAGCGUGAUCCCGAGGUGAGGACACAGAAGGCAUCAAUCUGCAAACCAGAGCGUCCUUACCAGACCUGGACCAGGCUGGCACCCCGAUCUCAGACUCCCAGCCUCCAGAAGCAUAAGAAAAUAAAUUGCUGUUGUUUGCACAACCCAAUGCGUGGCGUUUCUUACGGCGGCCCGAGCAGACUAAGACAGUGGCUAAAGUUGGAGACUGAUGAUACCAAGUGUCGUCAGGGAAGUGGAGAAAGCGGGACAUGUAUACACUGUGAGGAUAUACACGGUGCAACCACUUUGGAAACCAGUUUAGCGGUUUUCUACAAACCUAAAUUAUGACUACCGUAUCCACCCAUUCAUGUCCUAGGAAUCUGCCCAAGAGAAGUGAAAACAUAUGCCCACAGAAGGACUGGUUCACGAAUACUCUUCGCGACGUUGUCUGUAACAACCACAAACGGGAAACAACCCAACUCUCCACCAGCAUGUGAAUGGAUAAGCAAACGGUGGUGCCUCUAUCACACAGAGGACCAAGGCCGGGGGCCCCCUGCGCCAUGGGCUCAGUGCCCAGUGCCCAGGGCAGAGCCUGGCAGGUUCCAGGUGGGCUGUCUGACCGAGAGCUGGUCCGGUCCUGCACAACGGGACCCUCCCAGCCUGCUGGGGCCCGAGAGCAGAGGUGACAGCCGGUGGCCGUCUGAAGCGUGGGUCUGCGGGCUAACCUGGCCGCGACUCGCCCCACGACCUCAGGCUGAUCCCUGAAUCCUUCUGGGCCAACGGAAAUAUGAUUCCGACUUCAACUGAACUUCCUCUGGAAUUCCCCUUGACCCCUGACCCUCCCACACAAGCCUCCCCACUCGGGGCUGUGCCUGCCUUGUUGUUUGCUUGCUCUGCCACGAGGGUGGCCACACGCUUGUUCACCAGUGUUCCUAGCAAGUGGCACACAGUAGGUGUUCAACACGUUUGCCAAUUGAUCAGAAACAUCUCCCAUGGGGCGCCUGGGUGGCUCCGUCGUUUAAGCGACCGACUUCGGCUCAGGUCAUAAUCUCACGGUCCGUGGGUUCGAGCCCCACGUCAGGCUCUGUGCGGACAGCUCAGAGCCUGGAGCCUGCUUGGGAUUCUGUGUCUCCCUCUCUCUCUGCCCCUCCCCUGCUCAUGCUCUGUCUCUCUCUGUCUCAAAAAUAAUAAAAACAUUUAAAAAAAAUUUUUUUAAAUCUCCUAUAUGCUAGGCACUUGACAUAUGACCGCUCAUUUAAUUUUCUAAACACUCCUGCAGUGUGGGUCUAAUCAUCCCCAUUUUAGAGAUGAAAACACUGAGGCUGAGUAAAAUGACUUGAGGUAUCCAGAGACACGGGGCUGUAAAGAGGUGGUGGUGGAAUUUGAACCCGGCUCAUUAGACUCCGAAGCCCCUGAGCUUGCUGCCACACUGGGCUCCCCAGUCUCUCAUGAGGGGAUGACUUGACCUGACCUUUCCCCCCGCUCAUCGUUGGACCCCACUGAGACAGAGCCUACAGAACUGCUUGGCAAGGCUCGCUGCACAGAGGGGAAUGAGUCAGGCUGGGUGGCUGGCCAGUGGCCUCCAGUUCACCUGACUGGCUCAUGUUUGGGGUAUGUCACCUGUGAGCCCGGUUGGGUUUCUUGCAGGUUCCCACGGAGACAGGCCUCUUCUGGGAGCCGUCUGACGCUGCCUUUCCUCCCUGACCAGGCGACGACUCCACUCGCUCUUCCCGAGGCCUCAGCCUUCAGCCCGACUGAAUCACGCAGGGGAGAUCAGAGCUCAUAAUUAUGUCAUUAAUCCUCAUGUGGCAACACACUGGAGGUUGUUUUCUUAGCACGAGGCAGGGCCUUAUGGGGAGCUUCUCUCUCUGCGGCCUUGCCCUGUCUGGGUCCAUGGGCCGGGAGCGGGGAACCUCCUUCCACGGAGCCCAGAGGUGUGGAAACAUGAUGCUGGGUCUCCCGCACCCAGGAACCUGCACCCCCCUGUGUGUUGUCAGUCUCCUGGGGCUGCUGUAAUAAAUUACCAUAAACUUGGUGGCUUAAAACAACAGAAGUUUAUUUUCUCACUGUCCUGGAAGCCAGGCCAAACAUCAAGGGCCUAUUGAGAUGAUCCAAGAUGAUCUCAUCUCAAAAUGCUUAAUAACAUCUGUAAAGACCCCUUUUCCAAAUAAGGUCACAUUCACAUGUUCCCAGUGGACAAAUAUUUGGGGGGGGGGCCACCAUUCAGGCCCUACAUUCCAGAAGUUGCCUCCACCAGUGCCAUUUAACCGCAUAGACACUUCCCUCCUUGCUAGAUGCCUCUGUCGUCUGUCCUUUCCUCUCCAUCCCAACAGCUACUAUCCUAUUCUGACUCUCCCUUCUAUUGCUGGGACUGGUGCAGUAGACUUCUAACCUGCUCCAUUUUCAUCUCUCAUUCUUUUUACUGCUCCAGAGGGAUUUUUCUAACCACCAAAUUACCCUAUAUCAUUCCUGCUUCACACACUUUAAAAGCGGGAGUCCAAACUCCCAGGUGUGGUGUUUGAGGCCCUGACCGGGCGCUCAUCUGUUUGUCCCGGCCUCUGCUGGUGCCUUCCACCAGACCCACCAACACUGUAAGACCUUUAAACAGACCAUCCUCUCACCUUGCUUAUGCUCCUUGUUCAUUUCCCAGUCUACCAGCCAGAACUUCUGGGAGGUCUUCCCCAGUCCUGCCACGCGUCCCGAGCACCUCUGUCGGCCCCGGCACCUGUCCCUCAUCAGCAUUGUUCGCCGAUACGCCCAGGGUCUUCUUCAAUAGAGCUGGAGCUCCUUGGGGGCCGGGAUGGCACAUUCUUUACUUUCGUAAAGAGCUCGGCACAUAGCGCGUGCUGCGUAAGGUUCACGGCGUAAGUGGCCUCGUAAUGGUAAAUCGCGCAGAAGCCGAGACCCUGCUUAACUCAUUGGCUUGACUCUGACAGCAUCUUCCCCACCCCUCAUAUCUUAAAGUUGUGGGAACUGAGCUCCUACAAUGCACAGCGGAGUAUGCUUGAAAUAAACAAAGCCUGCCUUGGCCACUAACGCUCUGUCCAACUUGGGCAGGUCACUGGGUUUUUUGGAGUCUCUAUUUCCUCAUCUGAAAAUGGACGCUGAUUUUUGUCUCCCUCAGAACAGUAGUCGUGUAAACACAGAGUCACGACUUGGUAUUCUGCUCCUAGGUAUACGCCCCAGAGAAAUGUGUCCACAAAAGAACUGGUACGUGAAUCGUCAUAGCAUCGUUAUUCAUCAUCGGCAAAAGGCAGAAACAACCCAAGCGCCCAUCGGUGGAUGAACAGAUAAACAAGAUAUAACGUAUCCAUACACCAGAAUAUUGCUCAGCCGUGGAACGGAAUGAAGUACUGACAUGUGCUACAACGCGGAUGAACCCGGAAAACGUGAUGCUGAGUAGAAGAAACCAGCCACGAAAAAUCACGUAUUAUGUUUCCAUUUCUAUGACAUGUCCAGAAGAGGCAAGUCUAUAGAGACAGAAAGCAGGACUUGUUGCUAAAGAGGAGAAGCAGAGUCUGUUUACCCGGCCCUGGAAUCUAGGCAGGCUCUCACACUGGCUUUGGACAUCGAACGCGGCAGAAGUGACAUUGGCAUCCAGUGCCAGACAUGCGAGCAAGGCCAUCUUGCACAAUAGGCCCCCCCACGGAGCCAUCACCUGACUGCCGUCACUCGAGGGAGCCCCAGAAACCAGUAGAAGAACCGUCACCUAAUCCCAGCCCCAACUCUGACCCUGAGUCACACGCUAAUAAAUAUUUGUUGUUUUGAGCCACUAAGUUUUGCAGUGGUAUCUUAUGCAGUGGUAACCAACUGACUGACACAGGGACAGACGUUAAUAGAGCCACUUUUUUGUGCCCUUCCCUGCUUUUCCUUUUUUUUCAAAAUUCUCUUUGUUUUCUUUAUUUCGAGACAGAGACGGUGCAAGCAGGGGAGGGGCAGAGAGAGAGAAUCUGAAGCAGACCCUGAGCUGCCAGCGCAGAGCCAGACGUGGGGCUCGAACCGUGAGAUCAUGACCCGAGCUGAAACCAAGAGGUCGAACGCUCAACCGACCGAGCCACCCAGGCACCUCCCCCCCCCCCACCCCCUUCUCUCCUGUUCUGCCUCGAGAGGAGAUAGGAUUAUCUGGAGCUGCAGCAGCCACCUUGCAACCUUGAGGGAAAACAAACAGAAUCACGAUAUGAUUCCACAUUGGUGUGCCGCCUAAAUACCAACGGGUUUUGUUCCGUUUUGAAUUUCUUUUCACGCGAGAAAAUCAACCCCUGUUUGUUAUAAUACUAUGACUUCUCAAAUUACUAUCGUACUAUAAGUUCUGAUGAGGGGGAGGUAAGGAAGUGCUGAAUCACUGUAUUGUACAUCUGAAAGCAACACUACACUGUAUAUUAACUAACUGGAAUUUAAAUAAAAGCUUGAAAAAAAAAUAACUUCUAACGAAUACA